UGUCUAGGGGCUCAAACCUAAAGAACCUAAAUAUCUAAACGGAGAAAUUCAAUACUGCCUUUAAAACGUAGUGUGCACUUUUCUCUUAGUAAGACGCCGUGAUCCAUUAGAAAUUGAUACAUACAAAAUGUAUAUUGGGUCAUCAAUAGGCCAACAUGAAGUUUAUCGGAACAAAUGUCAUAAUCUUUUACGGUUGUGUGUAUUGUCUAGUAAGCAUGUUGUGUUAUCCUGUAAUGACUGUCUGAUGGAUUUUAUGGAUCGCUAUCAAUGAUGUCUCGUACAUCACUCACGUAAGUGAGAUUAUGAUACGUAUCUGAUCAACGGCGGUUAAAUUUGGGAUACCUUUUGGACCCGUCUUGAAACACGGACCAAGGAGUCUAUCUAGUAUGCGAGUAAAUGGAUAAUUUAUGAAAUCUAUUUGCAUAAUAAACUUGACUGUUUUUUAAUGGGAAUACGAGUAUCUGUAAUAAUAUACUCUUCCAUCCCGGGGUAUUUUCAUCAACAUAUGUGUAUGCAUAUGGAAAAUAUACCAUGAGCACACUGGAUACGACCCGAAAGAUGGUGAACUAUGCCUGAUCAGGUCGAAGUCAGGGGAAACCCUGAUGGAGGACCGAAGCAGUUCUGACGUGCAAAUCGAUUGUCAGAAUUGGGCAUAGGGGCGAAAGACCAAUCGAACCAUC
This 680-nucleotide ribosomal RNA is filed under the name Axarus fungorum. RNAcentral's name for it is "partial 28S ribosomal RNA". It matches the Rfam family "Eukaryotic large subunit ribosomal RNA", at positions 386 to 944 of the family's 3401-position model. The record is from RNAcentral. Lineage: Eukaryota; Metazoa; Arthropoda; Insecta; Diptera; Chironomidae.